Molecule: ribosomal RNA, 627 nt
Filed under: uncultured bacterium
Lineage: Bacteria
Description: bacterial SSU rRNA
Rfam family: Bacterial small subunit ribosomal RNA (bases 1-530)
Source: RNAcentral
CCUACGGGAGGCAGCAGUGGGGAAUUUUCCGCAAUGGGCGAAAGCCUGACGGAGCAAUACCGCGUGAGGGAAGAAUGCCUACGGGUUGUAAACCUCUUUUAUCAGGGAGGAACAAAAUGACGUGUACCUGAUGAAUAAGCAUCGGCUAACUCUGUGCCAGCAGCCGCGGUAAGACAGAGGAUGCAAGUGUUAUCCGGAAUUACUGGGCGUAAAGCGUCUGUAGGUUGUUGAACAAGUCAACUGUUAAAUCUUGAAGCUCAACUUCAAAAUCGCAGUCGAAACUGUUUGACUAGAGUAUAGUAGAGGUAAAGGGAAUUUCCAGUGGAGCGGUGAAAUGCGUAGAUAUUGGAAAGAACACCGAUGGCGAAAGCACUUUACUGGGCUAUUACUGACACUCAGAGACGACAGCUAGGGUAGCAAAUGGGAUUAGAUACCCCAGUAGUCCUAGCCGUAAACUAUGGAUACUAGAUGUUGAACAGAUACGACCUCGUGCAGUAUUAAAGUACUAACGUACGUUAAGUACUCCCGUCCGUCGGUAGGUAGUGCGUCGCGAGAGUAAGUAACGUACGAAAGGAAAGUUAGUUACGGCGUGAGACGNGCCGACGGACGACGACGAGGGAGGUUAGG